RNAcentral lists this ribosomal RNA (484 nucleotides) under Serratia marcescens. RNAcentral's name for it is "partial 23S ribosomal RNA". It matches the Rfam family "Bacterial large subunit ribosomal RNA", at positions 1417 to 1883 of the family's 2925-position model. The record is from RNAcentral. Lineage: Bacteria; Pseudomonadati; Pseudomonadota; Gammaproteobacteria; Enterobacterales; Yersiniaceae.
GAUGGGAAACAGGUUAAUAUUCCUGUACUUGGUGUUACUGCGAAGGGGGGACGGAGAAGGCUAGGCUAGCCGGGCGACGGUUGUCCCGGUUUAAGCGUGUAGGGGGUGUGACCUGGUAAAUCCGGUUGCAUAUCAACCCUGAGGCGUGAUGACGAUGCACUACGGUGCAGAAGUAGUUGAUGCCCUGCUUCCAGGAAAAGCCUCUAAGCUCCAGGUAACAUUGAAUCGUACCCCAAACCGACACAGGUGGUCAGGUAGAGAAUACCAAGGCGCUUGAGAGAACUCGGGUGAAGGAACUAGGCAAAAUGGUGCCGUAACUUCGGGAGAAGGCACGCUGGCAUGUAGGUGAAGUCCCUUGCGGAUGGAGCUGAAGCCAGUCGAAGAUACCAGCUGGCUGCAACUGUUUAAUAAAAACACAGCACUGUGCAAACACGAAAGUGGACGUAUACGGUGUGACGCCUGCCCGGUGCUGGAAGGUUAAUUG